Long non-coding RNA from Oreochromis aureus, 473 nucleotides. RefSeq lists it as uncharacterized. The transcript is spliced from 4 exons. The record is from RefSeq and is a predicted model, not a curated record. NCBI's taxonomy places the organism in Eukaryota, Metazoa, Chordata, Actinopteri, Cichliformes, Cichlidae.
GUCCGCUAGAGGCUGACGCCGACAGAACUACACUUUGGUAGGACGCCUAAACGUGUCUCUGUAAAUUAGCAGUCUUUAAGGAAACAGGGCCGAGCAUCCAGCAGGAAGGGAUUCCUUCAAGCUCAGACAUCAACAACAUCCCGAAUAUUAAAGCCAUAGAGUAAAGUCAGAGGAAUGGGCGCGAGGAUGGAAAUUAUGCCAGACUUACCCUCUGCCAAGGUACAAUAAGCCAGGUUGACAGAGACUCUCCCCGAAAAACAGUGGAUAAGUAAAGACGGGGCCCAGCCAGGCCCAAACAUCCUGACGGAGAGAGGCUUUUCCCUUAUCAGUCAGGAAACACCGCUCCUCCGCCACAUCCUCUUUACAAGAAGCACGACUCAACCAUUCCCAAAAAAUGCAGGAAGACCAGCCAGACUCCAGGAUUUGUCAAAAGCCCCCUGAAUUCCUUUUAUCGAAAAAAGAAAAAUUCAAGA